CUUUGCGGGGGUCUCUUUUUGGGAAUUCGACGCAAGUCGAUGGUACCUGGGGAGGCUCGCGUCCCUUUACACACCCUUUGUAUGUCUUAAGAAUGUCUACUCGAUGUAAUAAAACGCAUCUAAUACAACUUUCAACAACGGAUCUCUUGGCUCUCGCAUCGAUGAAGAACGCAGCGAAAUGCGAUAAGUAAUGUGAAUUGCAGAAUUCAGUGAAUCAUCGAAUCUUUGAACGCACCUUGCGCCCUUUGGUAUUCCGAAGGGCACACCUGUUUGAGUGUCGUGAAAUUCUCAACCCUCUUCGCUUUUGUGAACGUAGGGAUUGGACUUGGAGGCUUUGCCGGCUCUUGCUCGGCUCCUCUCAAAUGCAUUAGUGCGUCUUGUUGCGACGUGCGCCUCGGUGUGAUAAUUAUCUACGCUGUGGUGCGCUUGCUUCUGUGGAGACACGCUUUCAAACCGUCCGAAAGGACAGCUUUCAUCGAACUUUGACCUCAAAUCAGGUGGGACUACCCGCUGAACUUAAGCAUAU
This 526-nucleotide ribosomal RNA is filed under the name fungal sp. FC2. Its description in RNAcentral is "eukaryotic LSU rRNA". The stretch from base 127 to 280 matches the Rfam family "5.8S ribosomal RNA". The record is from RNAcentral. Lineage: Eukaryota; Fungi.